Small nucleolar RNA from Erinaceus europaeus (western European hedgehog), 116 nucleotides. The record is from Ensembl. NCBI's taxonomy places the organism in Eukaryota, Metazoa, Chordata, Mammalia, Eulipotyphla, Erinaceidae.
UGCUGCAUCUAUUAGUCUAUAGCUGUAUAGUGUGACUAGAGGCAGUACACUUGGGAGACUUGUCUACACCACUUGUUCUGACCUAUGAACAACUGGAUGAUUGAUAGUCUGACACA